UAUUGGGCAAUGGGCGCAAGCCUGACCCAGCAACGCCGCGUGAAGGAAGAAGGCCCUCGGGUUGUAAACUUCUUUUGUCAGGGACGAAGAAAGUGACGGUACCUGACGAAUAAGCCACGGCUAACUACGUGCCAGCAGCCGCGGUAAUACGUAGGUGGCAAGCGUUAUCCGGAUUUACUGGGUGUAAAGGGCGUGUAGGCGGGAUUGCAAGUCAGAUGUGAAAUUCCAGGGCUCAACCCUGGAACUGCAUUUGAAACUGUAGUUCUUGAGUGAUGGAGAGGCAGGCGGAACUCCGUGUGUAGCGGUGAAAUGCGUAGAUAUACGGAGGAACACCAGUGGCGAAGGCGGCCUGCUGGACAUUAACUGACGCUGAGGCGCGAAAGCGUGGGGAGCAAACAGG
This 400-nucleotide ribosomal RNA is filed under the name uncultured bacterium. Its description in RNAcentral is "bacterial SSU rRNA". It matches the Rfam family "Bacterial small subunit ribosomal RNA", at positions 362 to 776 of the family's 1533-position model. The record is from RNAcentral.